GGUUCCCCGCAGCGAACACCCGUGAACCCCGCCAGGCCCGGAAGGGAGCAACGGUAGCGGCGACUUCGCGUGCCGGGGGUCGGCUGG
This 87-nucleotide signal recognition particle RNA is filed under the name marine eukaryotic metagenome. Its description in RNAcentral is "Bacterial small signal recognition particle RNA". It matches the Rfam family "Bacterial small signal recognition particle RNA". Rfam says of the family: The signal recognition particle (SRP) is a universally conserved ribonucleoprotein involved in the co-translational targeting of proteins to membranes. Archaeal SRP consists of a 7S RNA and homologues of the eukaryotic SRP19 and SRP54 proteins. The record is from RNAcentral.